AACUCAUAAUGGACUCCUGGAUUGGGCUGCUGGUAGAUCAUCUGAGAGAGACAUGAGACAGCAGAUCUUUUUGAGGUUUACCUGGAUCAUCCUAAACAUCUGUCCAUAUCCUCAAACAUACUGCAGCUAACAGUGACAUAAUAUUGAGUUGGGAUGGACGUGUUUGAGGCGUCACUCACAAACACGUCCAGGAUCUCGUUGGUGGGCCCCUCGGCCAGGAAGGACUCUCCUGCGGUGCUGCUGAUCUCAUUGGGCCGCCGGUAGUUCCUGCUCUUCACCAUCUCGGUGACGUUGAUCUUGGUGGCUCCCGCCGGGAUCUCCACAAUCUUGUGAUAGCCCACUUUGGACAGACUGUGCUGGAACAGGCCGGAGACGAGCUUACACGCACUGUUAUCCCC
This is a long non-coding RNA of Puntigrus tetrazona (Sumatra barb), 398 nucleotides long. RefSeq lists it as uncharacterized. Lineage: Eukaryota; Metazoa; Chordata; Actinopteri; Cypriniformes; Cyprinidae. The record is from RefSeq and is a predicted model, not a curated record. The transcript is spliced from 3 exons.